UACGUAGGGUCCGAGCGUUGUCCGGAAUUAUUGGGCGUAAAGAGCUCGUAGGCGGUUUGUCGCGUCUGCUGUGAAAUCCCGAGGCUCAACCUCGGGCCUGCAGUGGGUACGGGCAGACUUGAGUGCGGUAGGGGAGAAUGGAAUUCCUGGUGUAGCGGUGGAAUGCGCAGAUAUCAGGAGGAACACCGGUGGCGAAGGCGGGUCUCUGGGCCGAUACUGACGCUGAGGAGCGAAAGCGUGGGGAGCGAACAGG
RNAcentral lists this ribosomal RNA (253 nucleotides) under uncultured bacterium. Its description in RNAcentral is "partial 16S ribosomal RNA". It matches the Rfam family "Bacterial small subunit ribosomal RNA", at positions 524 to 776 of the family's 1533-position model. The record is from RNAcentral.